GAUGAACGCUGGCGGCGUGCUUAACACAUGCAAGUCGAACGAAGCACUUUAACCUGAUUCUUCGGAUGAAGGUUUUUGUGACUGAGUGGCGGACGGGUGAGUAACGCGUGGGUAACCUGCCUCAUACAGGGGGAUAACAGUUAGAAAUGACUGCUAAUACCGCAUAAGACCACAGAGCCGCAUGGCUCGGUGGGAAAAACUCCCGUGGUAUGAGAUGGACCCGCGUCUGAUUAGGUAGUUGGUGGGGUAACGGCCUACCAAGCCAACGAUCAGUAGCCGACCUGAGAGGGUGACCGGCCACAUUGGGACUGAGACACGGCCCAAACUCCUACGGGAGGCAGCAGUGGGGAAUAUUGCACAAUGGGGGAAACCCUGAUGCAGCGACGCCGCGUGAGCGAAGAAGUAUUUCGGUAUGUAAAGCUCUAUCAGCAGGGAAGAAAAUGACGGUACCUGACUAAGAAGCACCGGCUAAAUACGUG
This 479-nucleotide ribosomal RNA is filed under the name uncultured bacterium. RNAcentral describes it as "partial 16S ribosomal RNA". It matches the Rfam family "Bacterial small subunit ribosomal RNA", at positions 28 to 507 of the family's 1533-position model. The record is from RNAcentral.